This 254-nucleotide ribosomal RNA is filed under the name uncultured bacterium. RNAcentral's name for it is "partial 16S ribosomal RNA". It matches the Rfam family "Bacterial small subunit ribosomal RNA", at positions 524 to 776 of the family's 1533-position model. The record is from RNAcentral.
GACGAACCGUGCGAACGUUAUUCGGAAUCACUGGGCUUAAAGCGCGUGUAGGCGGGACGGCACGUCGGUAGCUGAAAUCCCCCGGCUCAACCGGGGAACGGGCGCCGAUACGACCGCCCUCGAGGGACGUAGGGGGACCUGGAACUUCCGGUGGAGCGGUGAAAUGCGUUGAGAUCGGAAGGAACGCCCGUGGCGAAAGCGAGGUUCUGGACGUUUUCUGACGCUGAGACGCGAAAGCCAGGGGAGCGAACGGG